Molecule: ribosomal RNA, 437 nt
Filed under: uncultured bacterium
Lineage: Bacteria
Description: bacterial SSU rRNA
Rfam family: Bacterial small subunit ribosomal RNA
Source: RNAcentral
GUGGGGAAUCUUGCGCAAUGGGCGAAAGCCUGACGCAGCGACGCCGCGUGUGCGAUGAAGGUCUUCGGAUCGUAAAGCACUGUCGCCCGGGAAAAAAGCCCGCAAGGGAUUGAUGGUACCGGGAAAGGAAGCACCGGCUAACUCUGUGCCAGCAGCCGCGGUAAUACAGAGGGUGCGAGCGUUGUUCGGAAUUAUUGGGCGUAAAGCGCAUGUAGGCGGGAUGUUAAGUCGCGUGUGAAAGCCCCAGGCUCAACCUGGGAAGUGCGCGCGAAACUGGCAACCUUGAGUGCUGGAGAGGGUGGCGGAAUUCCCGGUGUAGAGGUGAAAUUCGUAGAUAUCGGGAGGAACACCAGAGGCGAAGGCGGCCACCUGGACAGACACUGACGCUGAGACGCGAAAGCGUGGGGAGCAAACAGGAUUAGAAACCCUAGUAGUCC